GUCUGAAUAGCUUAGAUGGUUAAAGCAGUCGCCCGGCAAGCGAAAGACGCAGGUUCG
Molecule: transfer RNA, 57 nt
Filed under: Lasius niger
Lineage: Eukaryota; Metazoa; Arthropoda; Insecta; Hymenoptera; Formicidae
Rfam family: tRNA
About the family: Transfer RNA (tRNA) molecules are approximately 80 nucleotides in length.
Source: Rfam by way of RNAcentral